Molecule: ribosomal RNA, 686 nt
Filed under: uncultured archaeon
Lineage: Archaea
Description: bacterial SSU rRNA
Rfam family: Archaeal small subunit ribosomal RNA
Source: RNAcentral
GUUAGUCGCGCGUCUCCCAGCCAUGAAAGAGACGCGGCACACGGCUCAGUAACAUGUGGCUAACCUGCCCUUAGGACAGAGAACAACCCCGGGAAACUGGGGCUAAUCUCUGAUAGGUGUGGAAUUCUGGAAUGAAUCGACACCCAAAAGACGCACUGAAUCAUGCUUUAGACAUCGCCUAAGGAUGGGGCCGCAGCCGAUCAGGUUGUUGGUGAGGUAACGGCUCACCAAGCCUAUAACCGGUACGGGCCGCGGGAGCGGUAGCCCGGAGAUGGACACUGAGAUAAGGGUCCAGGCCCUACGGGGCGCAGCAGUCGCGAAAACUCCACAAUGCGCGAAAGCGCGAUGGGGCUAUCCCGAGUGCCGUCCGCUGAGGAUGGCUUUUCUCCAGUGUAAGGAGCUGGGGGAAUAAGGAGAGGGCAAGACUGGUGUCAGCCGCCGCGGUAAUACCAGCUCUCCGAGUGGUAGGGAUGUUUAUUGGGCCUAAAGCGUCCGUAGCCGGCUCAUCAAGUCCUCCGUUAAAUCCAGCGAUUCAAUCGUUGGGCUGCGGGGGAUACUGUUGGGCUAGGGGACGGGAGAGGCCGACGGUAUUCCCGGAGUAGGGGUGAAAUCCUAUAAUUCCGGAGGACCACCAGUGGCGAAGGCUGUCGGCUAGAACGAGCUCGACGGUGAGGGACGAAAGCUGG